AACGCACCUUGCGCCCCUUGGUAUUCCGAGGGGCACACCCGUUUGAGUGUCGUGAAAAUCUCAACCUCCUCGGUUUCUUCUGGACGCCGAAGGAGGCUUGGACUUUGGAGGCCUUUGCUGGCGUCUCUCGCCAGCUCCUCUCAAAUGAAUUAGCGGGGUCCUCUUUGCCGAUCCUCGACGUGUGAUAAGAUGUUUCCAUGUCUUGGUUUCUGGCUCUGUCGCCUUUGGGACCCGCUUCUAACCGUCUCAAGUCGAGACAACGUUUGAGCGUGUCUCCCUUCUCGGGAAACACCCUCGAGCCCACGAACCCUUGACCUCAAAUCGGGUGAGACUACCCGCUGAACUUAA
This 348-nucleotide non-coding RNA is filed under the name Auriculariales sp. Lineage: Eukaryota; Fungi; Basidiomycota; Agaricomycetes; Auriculariales. The record is from RNAcentral. RNAcentral also lists the same sequence under 2 other names.